UAAGCAUAUCAAUAAGCGGAGGAAAAGAAACCAACAGGGAUUGCCCUAGUAACGGCGAGUGAAGCGGCAACAGCUCAAAUUUGAAAUCUGGCUUUCGGGCCCGAGUUGUAAUUUGUAGAGGAUGAUUUUGAUGCGGUGCCUUCCGAGUUCCCUGGAACGGGACGCCAUAGAGGGUGAGAGCCCCGUCUGGUUGGAUGCCAAAUCUCUGUAAAUCUCCUUCGACGAGUCGAGUAGUUUGGGAAUGCUGCUCUAAAUGGGAGGUAUAUGUCUUCUAAAGCUAAAUACCGGCCAGAGACCGAUAGCGCACAAGUAGAGUGAUCGAAAGAUGAAAAGCACUUUGAAAAGAGAGUUAAAAAGUACGUGAAAUUGUUGAAAGGGAAGCGUUUAUGACCAGACUUGGGCUUGGUUAAUCAUCUGGGGUUCUCUCCAGUGCACUUUUCCAGUCCAGGCCAGCAUCAGUUUUCGCCGGGGGAUAAAGGCUUCGGGAAUGUGGCUCCCCUCGGGGAGUGUUAUAGCCCGUUGUGUAAUACCCUGGUGGGGACUGAGGUUCGCGCUUCUGCAAGGAUGCUGGCGUAAUGGUCAUCAACGACCCGUCUUGAAACACGGACCAAGGAGUCGUCUUCGUAUGCGAGUGUUCGGGUGUCAAACCCCUACGCGUAAUGAAAGUGAACGCAGGUGAGAGCUUCGGCGCAUCAUCGACCGAUCCUGAUGUUCUCGGAUGGAUUUGAGUAAGAGCAUACGGGGCCGGACCCGAAAGAAGGUGAACUAUGCCUGUGUAGGGUGAAGCCAGAGGAAACUCUGGUGGAGGCUCGCAGCGGUUCUGACGUGCAAAUCGAUCGUCAAACAUGGGCAUGGGGGCGAAAGACUAAUCGAACCUUCUAGUAGCUGGUUUCCGCCGAAG
Molecule: ribosomal RNA, 901 nt
Filed under: Fusarium nepalense
Lineage: Eukaryota; Fungi; Ascomycota; Sordariomycetes; Hypocreales; Nectriaceae
Description: LSU rRNA
Rfam family: Eukaryotic large subunit ribosomal RNA
Source: RNAcentral